Molecule: ribosomal RNA, 400 nt
Filed under: uncultured bacterium
Lineage: Bacteria
Description: bacterial SSU rRNA
Rfam family: Bacterial small subunit ribosomal RNA
Source: RNAcentral
UGAGGAAUAUUGGUCAAUGGACGGAAGUCUGAACCAGCCAAGUAGCGUGCAGGAUGACGGCCCUAUGGGUUGUAAACUGCUUUUGUAUGGGGAUAAAGUUAGGGACGUGUCCCUAUUUGCAGGUACCAUACGAAUAAGGACCGGCUAAUUCCGUGCCAGCAGCCGCGGUAAUACGGAAGGUCCAGGCGUUAUCCGGAUUUAUUGGGUUUAAAGGGAGCGUAGGCUGGAGAUUAAGUGUGUUGUGAAAUGUAGACGCUCAACGUCUGAAUUGCAGCGCAUACUGGUUUCCUUGAGUACGCACAACGUUGGCGGAAUUCGUCGUGUAGCGGUGAAAUGCUUAGAUAUGACGAAGAACUCCGAUUGCGAAGGCAGCUGACGGGAGCGCAACUGACGCUUAAGC